Molecule: long non-coding RNA, 260 nt
Filed under: Populus trichocarpa (black cottonwood)
Lineage: Eukaryota; Viridiplantae; Streptophyta; Magnoliopsida; Malpighiales; Salicaceae
Description: long non-coding RNA (PTRI_LNC004495)
Source: RNAcentral
UCCCAAGCGAUACGAUAUUUGCCUCCAUCCUUCACAAGAAUUAGAUCUUCGUCAGUUUCUCUCUCUUUUUUUUUCUUCAAUAAUCCAUAACAUAAACAUAAAUUACCAUUUUUGUUUAACAAUUAGGUAUCGUCCAACAUUCCAUUUAUAAUCUGACAAGUCAGUCAUCCUGACAAUAUUAACACCACACAAGUAAGUUUAACUCAAGUUGUAUAUUCCGGUCAUUAGAAAACAAAACUAAUGCCACUAGCCCAUCACCG